RNAcentral lists this long non-coding RNA (4374 nucleotides) under Nicotiana benthamiana. RNAcentral's name for it is "long non-coding RNA (NBEN_LNC013888)". The record is from RNAcentral. Lineage: Eukaryota; Viridiplantae; Streptophyta; Magnoliopsida; Solanales; Solanaceae.
GGUAAUAUGCAUGUUAUUCUGUCUCAAGGACAGAAGUACGGCAUUGACAUCAGUAGUUUUAGGCAGACAUAAAAUAGCAUCUGAACUUGUACCCAAAUUCAUGUUACACAUUUGUUGAUUACGAGCAGCCUUUUAUAUACCCAACCUUUUAAAAGUAUGUCAAAUACACACUACUUUUUCCUUGACCAAUUUUUCAAAACAUGUGUGAUUUCACCCCCAAUAAGAUAGUGACACGUGUCACUAUUUUUAUUAAAAAACAAAACACUUAAAAUUACACUUACACCCCUUAAUCAUCUUCUUCAUUUCAUAUCUUUCUCCAUGGAGAGAUUGACGCCAGACACCACCAAAAUUCACAUAAAAUCACCUUCAUAUUAUAAAGCAAAAUUAGAAAUUCAAGUACAUUAAUCACGAGUUUGUGAGUCUAGAUUUAAAUCUGACACAAAAAAUAUAAUGCAAAACUCAAAACUCCAUUAAAGUUGGUUAUGGCCAAAUCCAUGGUUACUCCAUUCGCGUUCAUCUUCUUCAGUAAAAAAAUUAAGUAUUUUGACAGUUCAUUAUGACCAGAAUCUGUGAAAUUAUUCAGUGCAAAUAAGCAACCAAAGUGAUGAAAGCGCAAGCAAGAAAGAACAACUUUAUAAAAAUUACCUGUAAAUAACAAAUAGAAUCAAUUGAUUCUCGGCAUCUUUUGCUCAUCUCUGAUAUCCCUCAAAACCAAAUUAAUAUUCAAAUACAUUAAAUUUGUAUUCUUAAAUUGUUACCACUAAAUUACAAUUCAAACCUCAAUUUAAAAGAUUCUCCUAGAUAUAGAUUACUUUUAAUUCUUUUUAUCAAUUUCUUCUGAAACCUUUUUAUAUUAUUGUUAUUCUUAAAAUGAUAGACUAGAAAGAUACAGAAAUGGGGUGGGGAAGAAGACGAAAAUUGGCGAAGGGAGAACGUCAGUAACAAACUAAUAGGGGCGGAGUUCUGGGAAAAAGAACAAGGAAGUGUGAGUUAAAGUGAAGGAAAACAAAAUAAUUUUAAAAAGCAAAAAUUUAAAAUUUUGACACGCGUCCUUUAAGUAAGAAUUGUGAUAACAAUUUCUACAGUUUAACGGAAAAGGAAUAAUUUAUCCAUUGUUGCAAGAGCUGGUUGUUUGUUUAAGCUAUUGACGAAGAAGAUGAUGUUUUUAAUUAAAAACUAAAAAAAUGGACAUGUGUCAGUUACACACGAGAGUUCACAGAUUUCUUUUCCUAUUUACUCGCCUAAUUUGUGUGUAAAAUACGCUCUUGCCAUGUAAUCAAAAUGGUAUGUAACUGACACAUUUUAAAAGGUUGGGUGUGUAAAAUAUUGGCCGUAAUCAACAAAUGUAUAACAUGGAUUUGGAUACAAAUUCAUGUGCUAUUUUAUGCAUUCUGCCCUAAAAAUACUAUAGUACCAUCUUACAUGCUCACAAGGGCAAGUUACAUGUCUUAAAAAGGGGACAGAAGUACGGCAUUGACAUCAGUAGUUCCUAAAAUACUAUAGUACCACCUUACAUGCUCACAUAGGCAAGUUACAUGUCUUAAAAAGGGGUCAAUUGAUCACCUUUCGUCCAAAAAUUAUAGUGCAUAUAUUGGUAAAAUAUUAGGUUUUAUAGGUAUAUAAAAUAUACUAAACACCAAUUAUAGUGAUUUAUAUUUUUUUUCCUUUUUUCAAGUUUCAACACUCUUAAAAUAAAUUUCUGAUUUCGCAAGUACAUUCUCAUGAUUUCCACAUCAUUGAAACAGUGUUAAACAAAAGGAAGGAAUCAAAAUUUAUAGUACUAUUUCACGUCCUUAGCCUUAAACUAAGUGCACGUGCGCCACUUGACAACUCACUCACGAUCUUGCACAACUUGCUCACAUUCUUGCUAUGCCAAGUCAGUCUUACUACACUCAAGAUCGUUAAGAAAUGCUAGAACACAUGAGAAUUGCUAAAGGAAGCUUUUGUAGUAGAGAGAACUUGAAUUGAGAAUUGCUAAAGGAAGCUUUUGUAGUAGAGAGAACUGGAAUUGUUUGCUUGGUUAAUGAAUUACAAAUGAACGCCCCUAUUUAUACUAAUCACCUAGGGGCUAGUAUGUAAAUAAUACUUGUUCUACAAGUCCUUCCAUAUUUACAAAUAAGUCAUUCUCUAGAAUAUUCUACAUAGCUAGAAUCUUCUAAGUAUUUUUCGAAAAAUUCAAUCGGGUUCUAGGGUCUUCCUAAGGAAACCUCUAUAUUUCUCUAGAACUUUCCUACAAGUGCAUAAAUAUCUAGAACAUUUCUAAGGAAAUUCUCCAUAUGUGGCAGGUCAUAACACUCUCCCCCACCCAAUUUUGUGCCGCCCUCGGCACAAAGCAUCGACACGUACGCUCGCACUUCGCCUUGGUGUCAUUGGAAAUCUUUGUCCAUUAGCUAUGAUACCCUAUCAAGUGGUUCUCCUUCCCAUUUCACAAGGACUAGCCACGUUUCUUCUUACAACGUUUGAACUUUGGACGGUUGGCAGUGAUGGCCUCGAUCAUCUGCCCAUCGGAUGCCCCUCCUUGCUUUUGGCCUAAAUUUUUCCAUGACUCAACCAAGUCUAGCAGCUUCUCAAGCAUCAGGUUCGUGUUUCCACUCCCUAUUUGACUGUCCUCCGUGUCACAACCUUGUUGGCAAAAAUGACCCCUCUUCUUGGUGCAUCGUCAGAGUCUGAUAGCAUACAAUCACUUUGUAACUCGCCAUCCUUGCAGUUUCUCCUAUGUCACCCUUAUGUGCUUGAGCAAAGUUCUCUAUCAUUGCUGCAAGCUUCCCCGAUUCUGGGCAUUCACUCGCCCGAUGUGAUCCUUCACAAAAGUAGCACCCUCCAUUAGGCACGUACUCCCUACCAUUUUCCAGCCCCUUGCCGUUUCUCUUGGACCCCUGUCCGUUAUGGGAUGGCCCCUUGCCAUUACCCUUGUAUACCUCGGUUAUGCAUUUCCCGCUGUCCUCAUCAUGAUCUCCCUCAUCCCUCUCGGCGUUGCCUUCUUUGGAAUUGGCAGGCUCCAUCUUAAAGUCAACAAGUGAAUAGGCUACUCCGAUGGCCCCGUUCAUGUUGACUACUUGAUGUCUUCUUAACUUCCGCUUCGCCUAAUUUUGCAACCCAUCCAUGAAGUAGAAGAGAAAAUAUUCCUCGAGACAAUGACGAGAUUUGCAACGUUAAGGUACUGAACUCGCGCACAUAUUCCGGAAUUGUGGCCUCUAUCGGAGCUCCCGUAGUUUCCAUCAGUCUGCCACCUCGCGUGCAGCCCAUGCACCAACAUACUGCUUUCGCUUAGGGACCUUCGCGUUGAUCCCUUUUGCAAGUACCAAGCCCUUGGUAAUUCCGGCCUUGGUUCCCUACAAAACUUCCUUCUAACAAUCUCUCAUAUCUUUUCUAAUAUUCCUUAGUCAUAACAUUUGCUCUGAUACCAUGUUGUCACAUCCUUAGCCUUAAACUAAGCGCACAUGCGACACUAGGCAGCUCACUCACGAUCUUGCACAACUUGCUCACGUUUCAGCCUUACUACAUUUAAGAUCGCUAAGAAAUGCUAGAACACUGAGAAUUUCUAAAGGAAGCUUUUAUAGUAGAGAGAACUUGAAUUGUUUGCUCGGUUGAUGAAUUACAAAUUAAUGCCCCUUAUUUAUACUAAUCCCUUAGGGGCUAGUAUGUAAAUAAUAAUCAAGUCCUUCCAUAUUUACAAAUAAAUCAUUCUCUAGAAUAUUCUACCUAGCUAGAAUCUUCUAAGGAUUUUCCUAACAAUUCUAUAGUGUUUUAGAUCUUGCAAAGAAAACCUCUAUAUUUUUCUAAAACCUUUCUACAAGUGCAUAAAUAUUUAGAACAUUUUGAAGAAAAUUCUCCAUAUUUCUAGAAUAUUGCACCAAGAUCUAGUCUUUAAUUUAUGUAACCAGUCUAUAUGACAAAAAUGUAUGCCAAGUAACGCCUACGUGUCAUGAUAAUGUGACGGGUCAUGACAACUAGCUAAAUAAACAAGGAAGGAAUCAAAAAUCAUGAACGAGAAGAUUAAUAAAUGAGAAAAGAUUUAGGUAGGAAGACAUAAGACAAGUCAAAAGCAGCAAAAAUUCAACAACAAAUCCUAACCACAGAAAAGGCAUUAGAUUAUGAGGACAAUAGUAAUGGAGACGUAGUACGUAUUUUGAACAUUCUCAAUUACCCAAUAUAGAAAGGAUUCCAUUAAACAAGCCGAAUAAUCAAAGACAAAUUAAUUAACCAAUUGAAAUUCAGACAGACAGUAGUACGUACCAUUUGUUGGAAGAGUCAUCAAUGGGGACAGUUAUCGACUCCCAUUUCUUGGGACUAACCAUUGUUACAGUAACCACCUCCUUCCUUUUUCUUCAUUCUUUCUUCCUUUACACACAAAGAAAAUCUCUCUAAUUUAUU